This 496-nucleotide ribosomal RNA is filed under the name uncultured bacterium. RNAcentral's name for it is "partial 16S ribosomal RNA". It matches the Rfam family "Bacterial small subunit ribosomal RNA", at positions 30 to 523 of the family's 1533-position model. The record is from RNAcentral.
AUUGAACGCUGGCGGAAUGCUUUACACAUGCAAGUCGAACGGUAGAGGGGGCAACCCCUCGAGAGUGGCGAACGGGUGAGUAAUAUAUCGGAACGUGCCCAGUCGUGGGGGAUAACGUAGCGAAAGUUACGCUAAUACCGCAUACGAUCUAAGGAUGAAAGCGGGGGAUCGCAAGACCUCGCGUGAUUGGAGCGGCCGAUAUCAGAUUAGGUAGUUGGUGGGGUAAAGGCUCACCAAGCCAACGAUCUGUAGCUGGUCUGAGAGGACGACCAGCCACACUGGAACUGAGACACGGUCCAGACUCCUACGGGAGGCAGCAGUGGGGAAUUUUGGACAAUGGACGCAAGUCUGAUCCAGCCAUUCCGCGUGCAGGAUGAAGGCCCUCGGGUUGUAAACUGCUUUUGUACGGAACGAAAAGGUCUCUCUUAAUACGGGGGGCUCAUGACGGUACCGUAAGAAUAAGCACCGGCUAACUCUGUGCCAGCCGCCGCAGUAA